Caenorhabditis elegans is the source of this 142-nucleotide non-coding RNA. The record is from Ensembl. NCBI's taxonomy places the organism in Eukaryota, Metazoa, Nematoda, Chromadorea, Rhabditida, Rhabditidae.
CAAUAGCGUGGGUGUCAGUGACUUUCUACACCAGUCGAUACAUCCCACCGUCACCAAUAAAAUCUGCAUUAUCUUCGUCUCUAAUGUCUCUCAUUAUUCCAUUACAAAUGAAGACUCUCUUCCCAUUUCAUUCACCAUUUUC